AGUGAACGCUGGCGGUAGGCCUAACACAUGCAAGUCGAACGGCAGCACAGGAGAGCUUGCUCUCUGGGUGGCGAGUGGCGGACGGGUGAGGAAUACAUCGGAAUCUACCUUUUCGUGGGGGAUAACGUAGGGAAACUUACGCUAAUACCGCAUACGACCUACGGGUGAAAGUGGGGGACCGCAAGGCCUCACGCGAUUAGAUGAGCCGAUGUCCGAUUAGCUAGUUGGCGGGGUAAUGGCCCACCAAGGCGACGGUCGGUAUCUGGUCUGAGAGGAUGAUCAGCCACACUGGAACUGAGACACGGUCCAG
This 310-nucleotide ribosomal RNA is filed under the name uncultured Pseudoxanthomonas sp. Its description in RNAcentral is "bacterial SSU rRNA". It matches the Rfam family "Bacterial small subunit ribosomal RNA", at positions 29 to 334 of the family's 1533-position model. The record is from RNAcentral. Lineage: Bacteria; Pseudomonadati; Pseudomonadota; Gammaproteobacteria; Lysobacterales; Lysobacteraceae.